GCCUAACACAUGCAAGUCGAGCGGAGAUGAUGUGAGGAAGUUUUCGGAUGGAAUCACAUUAUCUUAGUGGCGAACGGGUGAGUAACGCGUGAGCAACCUGACCUUCAGAGGGGGAUAACAUUUGGAAACAGAUGCUAAUACCGCAUAAGACCACGACCCGACAUCGGGAUGAGGUCAAAGGAGCAAUCCGCUGAAGGAGGGGCUCGCGUCCCAUUAGAUAGAUGGCGGGGUAACGGCCCACCAUGUCGACGAUGGGUGGCCGCGCUGAGAGGCUGAUCGGCCACACUGGAACUGAGACACGGUCCAGACUCCUACGGGAGGCAGCAGUGGGGAAUAUCGGGCAAUGGGCGCAAGCCUGACCCAGCAACGCCGCGUGAGGGAAGAAGGCUUUCGGGUUGUAAACCUCUGUCCUUGGUGACGAAACAAAUGACGGUAGCCAAGGAGGAAGCCCCGGCUAACUACGUGCCAGCCGCCGCCGUAA
RNAcentral lists this ribosomal RNA (481 nucleotides) under uncultured bacterium. Its description in RNAcentral is "partial 16S ribosomal RNA". It matches the Rfam family "Bacterial small subunit ribosomal RNA", at positions 46 to 523 of the family's 1533-position model. The record is from RNAcentral.